RNAcentral lists this ribosomal RNA (2876 nucleotides) under Salmonella enterica subsp. enterica serovar Kentucky str. CVM29188. Its description in RNAcentral is "bacterial LSU rRNA". It matches the Rfam family "Bacterial large subunit ribosomal RNA". Lineage: Bacteria; Pseudomonadati; Pseudomonadota; Gammaproteobacteria; Enterobacterales; Enterobacteriaceae. The record is from RNAcentral.
AGCGUACACGGUGGAUGCCCUGGCAGUCAGAGGCGAUGAAGGACGUGCUAAUCUGCGAUAAGCGCCGGUAAGGUGAUAUGAACCGUUAUAACCGGCGAUUUCCGAAUGGGGAAACCCAGUGUGACUCGUCACACUAUCAUUAACUGAAUCCAUAGGUUAAUGAGGCGAACCGGGGGAACUGAAACAUCUAAGUACCCCGAGGAAAAGAAAUCAACCGAGAUUCCCCCAGUAGCGGCGAGCGAACGGGGAGGAGCCCAGAGCCUGAAUCAGCAUGUGUGUUAGUGGAAGCGUCUGGAAAGGCGCGCGAUACAGGGUGACAGCCCCGUACACAAAAGCGCAUGUGUUGUGAGCUCGAUGAGUAGGGCGGGACACGUGGUAUCCUGUCUGAAUAUGGGGGGACCAUCCUCCAAGGCUAAAUACUCCUGACUGACCGAUAGUGAACCAGUACCGUGAGGGAAAGGCGAAAAGAACCCCGGCGAGGGGAGUGAAAAAGAACCUGAAACCGUGUACGUACAAGCAGUGGGAGCCCCACCACUAAGCCAGUGGUGAACUCCACAUACGCAUCCUUUGCUGAAGGUGCGGUUAACGGAGCGCAAGCGACGUUCAACCUCAAAAGAAGCAGAGGGGGCUUAGUGGUGGGGUGACUGCGUACCUUUUGUAUAAUGGGUCAGCGACUUAUAUUCUGUAGCAAGGUUAACCGCAUAGGGGAGCCGGAGGGAAACCGAGUCUUAAUUGGGCGUUAAGUUGCAGGGUAUAGACCCGAAACCCGGUGAUCUAGCCAUGGGCAGGUUGAAGGUUGGGUAACACUAACUGGAGGACCGAACCGACUAAUGUUGAAAAAUUAGCGGAUGACCUGUGGCUGGGGGUGAAAGGCCAAUCAAACCGGGAGAUAGCUGGUUCUCCCCGAAAGCUAUUUAGGUAGCGCCUCGUGAAUUCAUCUCCGGGGGUAGAGCACUGUUUCGGCUAGGGGGCCAUCCCGGCUUACCAACCCGAUGCAAACUGCGAAUACCGGAGAAUGUUAUCACGGGAGACACACGGCGGGUGCUAACGUCCGUCGUGAAGAGGGAAACAACCCAGACCGCCAGCUAAGGUCCCAAAGUCAUGGUUAAGUGGGAAACGAUGUGGGAAGGCCCAGACAGCCAGGAUGUUGGCUUAGAAGCAGCCAUCAUUUAAAGAAAGCGUAAUAGCUCACUGGUCGAGUCGGCCUGCGCGGAAGAUGUAACGGGGCUAAACCAUGCACCGAAGCUGCGGCAGCGACGCUGAUGCGUUGUUGGGUAGGGGAGCGUUCUGUAAGCCUGUGAAGGUGGCCUGUGAGGGUUGCUGGAGGUAUCAGAAGUGCGAAUGCUGACAUAAGUAACGAUAAAGCGGGUGAAAAGCCCGCUCGCCGGAAGACCAAGGGUUCCUGUCCAACGUUAAUCGGGGCAGGGUGAGUCGACCCCUAAGGCGAGGCCGAAAGGCGUAGUCGAUGGGAAACGGGUUAAUAUUCCCGUACUUGGUGUUACUGCGAAGGGGGGACGGAGAAGGCUAUGUUGGCCGGGCGACGGUUGUCCCGGUUUAAGCGUGUAGGUGUGUGUUCCAGGUAAAUCCGGUUCACUUUAACACUGAGGCGUGAUGACGAGGCACUACGGUGCUGAAGCAACAAAUGCCCUGCUUCCAGGAAAAGCCUCUAAGCAUCAGGUAACAUCAAAUCGUACCCCAAACCGACACAGGUGGUCAGGUAGAGAAUACCAAGGCGCUUGAGAGAACUCGGGUGAAGGAACUAGGCAAAAUGGUGCCGUAACUUCGGGAGAAGGCACGCUGACACGUAGGUGAAGUGAUUUACUCAUGGAGCUGAAGUCAGUCGAAGAUACCAGCUGGCUGCAACUGUUUAUUAAAAACACAGCACUGUGCAAACACGAAAGUGGACGUAUACGGUGUGACGCCUGCCCGGUGCCGGAAGGUUAAUUGAUGGGGUCAGCGCAAGCGAAGCUCCUGAUCGAAGCCCCGGUAAACGGCGGCCGUAACUAUAACGGUCCUAAGGUAGCGAAAUUCCUUGUCGGGUAAGUUCCGACCUGCACGAAUGGCGUAAUGAUGGCCAGGCUGUCUCCACCCGAGACUCAGUGAAAUUGAACUCGCUGUGAAGAUGCAGUGUACCCGCGGCAAGACGGAAAGACCCCGUGAACCUUUACUAUAGCUUGACACUGAACAUUGAGCCUUGAUGUGUAGGAUAGGUGGGAGGCUUUGAAGUGUGGACGCCAGUCUGCAUGGAGCCGACCUUGAAAUACCACCCUUUAAUGUUUGAUGUUCUAACGUGGACCCGUAAUCCGGGUUGCGGACAGUGUCUGGUGGGUAGUUUGACUGGGGCGGUCUCCUCCUAAAGAGUAACGGAGGAGCACGAAGGUUGGCUAAUCCUGGUCGGACAUCAGGAGGUUAGUGCAAUGGCAUAAGCCAGCUUGACUGCGAGCGUGACGGCGCGAGCAGGUGCGAAAGCAGGUCAUAGUGAUCCGGUGGUUCUGAAUGGAAGGGCCAUCGCUCAACGGAUAAAAGGUACUCCGGGGAUAACAGGCUGAUACCGCCCAAGAGUUCAUAUCGACGGCGGUGUUUGGCACCUCGAUGUCGGCUCAUCACAUCCUGGGGCUGAAGUAGGUCCCAAGGGUAUGGCUGUUCGCCAUUUAAAGUGGUACGCGAGCUGGGUUUAGAACGUCGUGAGACAGUUCGGUCCCUAUCUGCCGUGGGCGCUGGAGAACUGAGGGGGGCUGCUCCUAGUACGAGAGGACCGGAGUGGACGCAUCACUGGUGUUCGGGUUGUCAUGCCAAUGGCACUGCCCGGUAGCUAAAUGCGGAAGAGAUAAGUGCUGAAAGCAUCUAAGCACGAAACUUGCCCCGAGAUGAGUUCU